RNAcentral lists this ribosomal RNA (201 nucleotides) under uncultured bacterium. RNAcentral's name for it is "partial 16S ribosomal RNA". It matches the Rfam family "Bacterial small subunit ribosomal RNA", at positions 1300 to 1500 of the family's 1533-position model. The record is from RNAcentral.
GCAGGCUGCAACUCGCCUGCAUGAAGCUGGAAUUGCUAGUAAUCGCGGAUCAGCAAGCCGCGGUGAAUACGUUCCCGGGCCUUGUACACACCGCCCGUCACACCAUGAGAGUCGGGAAUGCCCGAAGUCAGCGGCCCAACCGAAAGGAGGGAGCUGCCGAAGGCAGGCCUGGUGACUGGGGUGAAGUCGUAACAAGGUAAC